RNAcentral lists this ribosomal RNA (462 nucleotides) under uncultured bacterium. RNAcentral describes it as "partial 16S ribosomal RNA". It matches the Rfam family "Bacterial small subunit ribosomal RNA", at positions 28 to 507 of the family's 1533-position model. The record is from RNAcentral.
GACGAACGCUGGCGGCGUGCUUAACACAUGCAAGUCGAGCGGAAAGGCCCUUCGGGGUCCUCGAGCGGCGAACGGGUGAGUAACACGUGAGUAACCUGCCCCAGACUUUGGGAUAACCCUCGGAAACGGGGGCUAAUACCGGAUACGACACAGCUUCGCAUGGGGUCUGUGUGGAAAGUUUUUCGGUUUGGGAUGGGCUCGCGGCCUAUCAGCUUGUUGGUGGGGUGAUGGCCUACCAAGGCGACGACGGGUAGCCGGCCUGAGAGGGCGACCGGCCACACUGGGACUGAGAGACGGCCCAGACUCCUACGGGAGGCAGCAGUGGGGAAUAUUGCACAAUGGGCGGAAGCCUGAUGCAGCGACGCCGCGUGAGGGAUGACGGCCUUCGGGUUGUAAACCUCUUUCAGCAGGGACGAAGCGUAAGUGACGGUACCUGCAGAAGAAGCGCCGGCCAACUACGUG